Molecule: ribosomal RNA, 254 nt
Filed under: uncultured bacterium
Lineage: Bacteria
Description: partial 16S ribosomal RNA
Rfam family: Bacterial small subunit ribosomal RNA
Source: RNAcentral
UACGGAGGGGGCAAGCGUUGUUCGGAUUUACUGGGCGUAAAGGGUGUGUAGGCGGCUGGACAAGUCUGGUGUGAAAUCUUCUCCGCUCAACGGGAAGGGGUCACUGGAAACUGUUCAGCUUGAGUAUGGUAGAGGCAAGCGGAAUUCCUGGUGUAGCGGUGGAAUGUGUAGAUAUCAGGAAGAACAUCGGUGGCGAAGGCGGCUUGCUGGGCCAUCACUGACGCUGAGACACGAAAGCGUGGGGAGCAAACGGG